GAGAGGGGCGCGGUGGGUGCGAGGUUGGUACGAGAGAAGAGCGGUGGGCUACAGACGUGAGGCUCGUACGGGAGAGGGGUGCGGUAGGCGCGAGGCUGGUACGAGAGAAGAGCGGUGGGAGAUGCGAGGUCUGGAGCUGUGUAGCUGUGAUGUCUAACUACUCAAUCAUAAAGGGACAGGAAAUCAUUAGUUCAAACCCAGGUGACCCCUCCAUGGUCAGGAGUCUGACAGCCAGUUGAGUGGUGGUAAUCUGGGUGUUGGGCUGUGAGGAAGGGAAACAUCAGAAGAGUUCCUCUGAUCUUCGUGACGGGGCGUCCGUGUCUUUCUCUGCAGCUCCUCUCUGUGACAGUAGUCAUUAAAAGUCAUUAAUCUUGCUUUGAUACUUUACCGUUUCCCACAGGCUACAUGCUCUCUCUCUCUGCCACUGCUCUCUCGCUCGCUCUCUUUUUCUCCCCUCUGAGAGGGAAUUGCAUUAAAUUGGUAUUUGUUCCAAAUCA
Pygocentrus nattereri (red-bellied piranha) is the source of this 497-nucleotide long non-coding RNA. RefSeq lists it as uncharacterized. The record is from RefSeq and is a predicted model, not a curated record. The transcript is spliced from 3 exons. Lineage: Eukaryota; Metazoa; Chordata; Actinopteri; Characiformes; Serrasalmidae.